CCUACGGGAGGCAGCAGUGGGGAAUUUUGGACAAUGGGCGCAAGCCUGAUCCAGCCAUGCCGCGUGAGUGAAGAAGGCCUUCGGGUUGUAAAGCUCUUUCGGCGGGGACGAAACGGUUCGUGCCAACAUCACGGACUAAUGACGGUACUCGCAGAAGAAGCACCGGCUAACUACGUGCCAGCAGCCGCGGUAAU
Molecule: ribosomal RNA, 194 nt
Filed under: uncultured beta proteobacterium
Lineage: Bacteria; Pseudomonadati; Pseudomonadota; Betaproteobacteria
Description: partial 16S ribosomal RNA
Rfam family: Bacterial small subunit ribosomal RNA
Source: RNAcentral